This 294-nucleotide ribosomal RNA is filed under the name uncultured bacterium. Its description in RNAcentral is "partial 16S ribosomal RNA". It matches the Rfam family "Bacterial small subunit ribosomal RNA", at positions 29 to 314 of the family's 1533-position model. The record is from RNAcentral.
AGUGAACGCUGGCGGCAGGCCUAACACAUGCAAGUCGAACGGCAGCACAGGGGUAGCAAUACCCUGGGUGGCGAGUGGCGGACGGGUGAGGAAUACGUCGGAAUCUGCCUAUUUGUGGGGGAUAACGUAGGGAAACUUACGCUAAUACCGCAUACGACCUACGGGUGAAAGCGGAGGACCUUCGGCGUUCGCGCAGAUAGAUGAGCCGACGUCGGAUUAGCUAGUUGGCGGGGUAAACGGACCCGACCAAGGACGACGAUCCGUAGCUGGUCUGAGAGGAUGAUCAGCCACACU